This 41-nucleotide non-coding RNA is filed under the name Saccharothrix syringae. Its description in RNAcentral is "L31-Actinobacteria ribosomal protein leader". It matches the Rfam family "L31-Actinobacteria ribosomal protein leader". The record is from RNAcentral. Lineage: Bacteria; Bacillati; Actinomycetota; Actinomycetes; Pseudonocardiales; Pseudonocardiaceae.
CCGGCUCCGGUUCACCUCGUGCAGAAGAGGACCCGGCGGCC